RNAcentral lists this small nuclear RNA (91 nucleotides) under Ovis aries (sheep). Lineage: Eukaryota; Metazoa; Chordata; Mammalia; Artiodactyla; Bovidae. The record is from RNAcentral.
GUCCACGGUUGACAAGUUCUUAAGAGUCAAGAAAUGAUUAUGGCCCCUAAGCAAGGAUGACAUGCAAAUUUGUGAAGCUUUCCAUAUUUAA